Molecule: ribosomal RNA, 555 nt
Filed under: uncultured bacterium
Lineage: Bacteria
Description: partial 16S ribosomal RNA
Rfam family: Bacterial small subunit ribosomal RNA
Source: RNAcentral
UGGGGAAUUUUGGACAAUGGGGGAAACCCUGAUCCAGCCAUCCCGCGUGUGCGAUGAAGGCCUUCGGGUUGUAAAGCACUUUUGGCAGGAAAGAAACGUCGCGGGUUAAUACCCCGCGAAACUGACGGUACCUGCAGAAUAAGCACCGGCUAACUACGUGCCAGCAGCCGCGGUAAUACGUAGGGUGCAAGCGUUAAUCGGAAUUACUGGGCGUAAAGCGUGCGCAGGCGGUUCGGAAAGAAAGAUGUGAAAUCCCAGAGCUUAACUUUGGAACUGCAUUUUUAACUACCGGGCUAGAGUGUGUCAGAGGGAGGUGGAAUUCCGCGUGUAGCAGUGAAAUGCGUAGAUAUGCGGAGGAACACCGAUGGCGAAGGCAGCCUCCUGGGAUAACACUGACGCUCAUGCACGAAAGCGUGGGGAGCAAACAGGAUUAGAUACCCUGGUAGUCCACGCCCUAAACGAUGUCAACUAGCUGUUGGGGCCUUCGGGCCUUGGUAGCGCAGCUAACGCGUGAAGUUGACCGCCUGGGGAGUACGGUCGGCAAGAUUAAAACUC